UUACAGAAAGGAGCCAAUUUUUAAUAGGAGCAGUGUUAGAGCCAUAUAUUUUUAACUGCCUGAGAUUUUGAUAACAUUUGAGAGAGAUGGUGUUACAUGGUUUUACAAUAUUAAUAUUAAAUAUUAAAGUUCUGGAUAGGAUGGCAAAUGCAAAGCAUGUAUCCUUUGAAAUCUGUUCUAAGGAGUUGAACGAAUUUCGUUGGAGCCAACAAUCCAGAUUGAUUCCUCAGAUAUGUAAAGUAAUUGAUCAACGGAAAUCAUGAAUUCAUGGAAAUCUGUCUGAAGUAAUUUAUAAAAUUUCGUCGAAAUUAUCGCACAGGAAGGAUUCAUCGUCAGAUAUGCAACGUAAGUUACUAUUCGGGUUACAUUGUUGCAAAUAAACCUUUUGAGUAUUAGCUGGAAAGCUGGAUGGCAAGCUGAUUUUAAGUAUGAGGAGGUGACUAAAAGGAAAAUUUUAAAGUUAGUCAACCAUAGGUAGAGUUGGUUAAAAUGUUCAAUGAAUGCAAUAGUCAAAUGAUAAUCUUUAGAAUCUUAAGUUUGGAAUAGCAUGGAGUUAGAUUUUUCACAAGAGCAGCCUUUAAGAUUUAAGAUUACAGUGUUUAUAGAAUUGGUGUGUACAUUGCAGAAUGCAAUGUACACACCUGACGCUCUGUAUCCAACGAGGAACUUAUUAAUGUUUAAAGCAUUACUACAAUAAGUUUGAGAAUACCUAGAGACAUAGUGCUUUUCCCAUGCUGUAUUGUAGUUUAUCAAAAGAUUAUGUAACCAUUGUAACCAAUUGCUUUGCUUUCUAAUAUGCAAAACCGCUUGUUUCAAAGAAACUGAACUUGUAGAUAGGUUUCUCUGAGCUGUAUUGACAACUAACUUGGAAAACGCAACCAAGGUUGGUCUUUUGGUCAUUUCGGCAGAGGAGUAAAGUAUUUUGAUACUCGUAAAUACUUUGUUAACCAAACACAAUAGCAUAGUCAGCGAGAUCCUGCAGCCUUUUAUGACAAUUAGGUAAUGAUUUAUUGUAAAUGCUGGUGUAGCAUGUCAUAAUCCCACGUUCAGACUUUUUCCGGUACGUAGAUAAAUAAUAAUUUUCUUUUAGUGUUCAAAAUCUUAUGGCUAGGUGUUUCAUAUCUACAUUCCAGGCUGCGUACGAAGCUGUAUAUCUUAACAAAAAUUUUCAGGCUUGCUCUAGUGCAGGUACUUCAUCUGAAAAUCUGGCCGUCUAGGUUAUAAAGAAAAUGCUUCAAUUUAUUGCCAGCGAUUGCCAUUUCUAGAUGCUUCAUGAAAGUAAGAUGCUCAGAUAAAUGAGUAUUGCUAGACCUUUUCAAAGUUAAUGCCUAAAUCAGCUAUAUCCAAGCAUAUCAUAGAAAUCACCAUGGCUACUUUGACACAGUUGUUGCUACUUUAUAUCAUGAAAACCGUCAGGACUGUUAUAGUCUGUUGCCAGGUAUUUAAACUCAUCAACCCUACUUAUGAAGUUAAUACCUGAAUCUGCUUUUCCCAGGUAUUUCAUAAAAUCUUCAAGCCAACUUCAUGAAGUUAAUGCCUGAAUCUGCUAUUCCCACGUAUAAUCUAAAAACCGCCAAGCUGAAUUCAACCUGGUGUUUCAUAAACUCUACAGGCCUACCUAAAAGUUAUGCCUGAAUCUGCUAUUGCCAGGUAUUUCGUAAAGUCUUCAGGUCUACUUCCGAUGUUAAUGCCUAAAUCUGCUGUUGCAUUUCAUAUAAAAUCUAAAGGCCUAAUUACUGAAGUUAAUAUUCUAUUGCAAUUCAUAAAAAAAUCCCUAGGCCUAAUUACGAAGUUAAUAGCUAAAUCAGCCAUUGCACUUCGUAAAAUUUUCGAUGUUAAUGCCUAAAUCUGUAGUUUCAUUUCUUAUAAAAUCUAAAGGUCUAAUUACUGGAGUUAAUAUCCUGUUGCAAUUCAUAAAAACUACAUAGGCCUAAUUACGAAGUUAAUACCUAAAUCAGCUAUUGCAUUUGAUAUAAAAUCCAAAGAGAAUUAUAUUUUGUAGUUAUGCUCAUGGUCUGGGUAUUUUGGAUAUGCAGUUCUGUAGCUUUACUUUAGCGAAUGUGCUGUACAAGUGGACAGUGUUAAACGUGUAGAGGUCUUGUUUAAGCUAAAAUUUAUUUUGAAAGCGAAAAUUGUAUGUUAAAUAUAUGUAGAAGUCUCGUCUAAGUUGAAUUUAAUUUUGGAUGCUAAAGUUGUAUGUAAAAUAUAUGUAGAAGUCUUGUUUAAGUUAAAAUUUAUUUUGGAAGCU
Molecule: long non-coding RNA, 2248 nt
Organism: Macrobrachium nipponense
Lineage: Eukaryota; Metazoa; Arthropoda; Malacostraca; Decapoda; Palaemonidae
Exons: 4
Source: RefSeq, a predicted model, not a curated record